RNAcentral lists this ribosomal RNA (197 nucleotides) under uncultured bacterium. RNAcentral describes it as "partial 16S ribosomal RNA". It matches the Rfam family "Bacterial small subunit ribosomal RNA", at positions 1304 to 1500 of the family's 1533-position model. The record is from RNAcentral.
UCUGCAACUCGACUGCAUGAAGCUGGAAUCGCUAGUAAUCGCGAAUCAGAAUGUCGCGGUGAAUACGUUCCCGGGUCUUGUACACACCGCCCGUCACACCAUGGGAGCCGGAAACGCCCAAAGACAGCGGCCUAACCGCAAGGAGGGAACUGUCUAAGGCGGGUCUGGUGACCGGGGUGAAGUCGUAACAAGGUAGC